RNAcentral lists this ribosomal RNA (300 nucleotides) under uncultured Thermodiscus sp. Its description in RNAcentral is "bacterial SSU rRNA". It matches the Rfam family "Bacterial small subunit ribosomal RNA", at positions 496 to 795 of the family's 1533-position model. Lineage: Archaea; Thermoproteati; Thermoproteota; Thermoprotei; Acidilobales; Acidilobaceae. The record is from RNAcentral.
GGUAGAUGCGUGCCAGAGGCGGGGGUACGUCGUAGGGUGCAAUGGGUAAUCGGAAUUAAUGGGCGGAAGGCGUGGGUAGGCGGUUCGGAAAGAAAGAUGUGAAAUCCCAGGGCUCAACCUUGGAACUGCAUGUUUAACUGCCGAGCUAGAGUAUGUCAGAGGGGGGUAGAAUUCCACGGGUAGCAGGGAAAUGCGUAGAUAUGUGGAGGAAUACCGAUGGCGAAGGCAGCCCCCUGGGAUAAUACUGACGCUCAGACACGAAAGCGUGGGGAGCAAACAGGAUUAGAUACCCCAGUAGUC